UGAGGAAUAUUGGGCAAUGCCCGCAAGGGUGACCCAGCAACGCCGCGUGGAGGAUGAAUGUCGUAAGAUUGUAAACUCCCGUUAGAGGGGAAGAAUAGUACCGGUUGGACCGGUAUAUGACUGUACCCUCAGAGAAAGCCCCGGCUAACUACGUGCCAGCAGCCGCGGUAAUACGUAGGGGGCAAGCGUUGUCCGGAUUUACUGGGUGUAACGGGCGCGCAGGCGGGAUAAAAAGUCAGUGGUGAAAUCCUACAGCUUAACUGUAGAACUGCCUUUGAUACUUUUAUUCUUGAGUUCGGGAGAGAGAGACGGAAUUCCAGGUGUAGUGGUGAAAUACGUAGAUAUCUGGAAGAACACCAGUUGCGAAGGCGGUCACUUGGUCCGACACUGACGCUGAGGCGCGAAAGCGUGGGGAGCAAACA
This 422-nucleotide ribosomal RNA is filed under the name uncultured bacterium. RNAcentral describes it as "bacterial SSU rRNA". It matches the Rfam family "Bacterial small subunit ribosomal RNA", at positions 355 to 774 of the family's 1533-position model. The record is from RNAcentral.